AAGGAUCAUUAUUGAGAUGUAACGGCGCCCUGUUAGUUGUUGCAAUGUAGAGUCAGUGCUGGCUUCUGAAGUAUGUGCACGCUUUACUUGUAGCUCUAACUUGGUGAUAACCGUUUCUUAUCCAUCCACCUGUGCACUUUUUGUAGGAGUUUUUAUUAGGUUGGCUUUCAAGUCGAAAGACUUUGUUAGUUGACAUAAUAGGACUUCUAUGUCUUUACAAACCAUUGAAGUAUGUCUAGAAUGUCAUUUUACUGGGACUUCAUUGACCCUUUAAACUUUAUACAACUUUCAGCAACGGAUCUCUUGGCUCUCCCAUCGAUGAAGAACGCAGCGAAAUGCGAUAAGUAAUGUGAAUUGCAGAAUUCAGUGAAUCAUCGAAUCUUUGAACGCACCUUGCGCCCUCUGGUAUUCCGGAGGGCAUGCCUGUUUGAGUGUCAUUAAAUUCUCAACUUCAAAAGUUUUUAUUAACUCAUUGAAGCUUGGAUGUGGGGGUUUGUUGGCGUCUUUAGAUGUUCAGCUCCCCUUAAAUGCAUUAGUGGAAUUCCCGUUUGGUUGGUCCAUCUUGGUGUGAUAAUUAUCUACGCUUUGCUUGGUUCAACUGUCAGGUGUGCUUAGGCUAGAUCCUGGUUGUGAUAUUGCAUUAAGUUGCUUUAUCUGAUUGUGGGAAAUUUAUCUGCUUUCUAACCGUCUGUUGUUUCAGACAAUUUCUUGACUAUUUGACCUCAAAUCAGGUAGGACUACCCGCUGAACUUAA
This 754-nucleotide ribosomal RNA is filed under the name Rhodocollybia butyracea. Its description in RNAcentral is "eukaryotic LSU rRNA". The stretch from base 284 to 437 matches the Rfam family "5.8S ribosomal RNA". The record is from RNAcentral. Lineage: Eukaryota; Fungi; Basidiomycota; Agaricomycetes; Agaricales; Omphalotaceae.